This 332-nucleotide unclassified non-coding RNA is filed under the name soil metagenome. Its description in RNAcentral is "partial contains 5.8S ribosomal RNA, internal transcribed spacer 2, and large subunit ribosomal RNA". The stretch from base 1 to 120 matches the Rfam family "5.8S ribosomal RNA", at positions 35 to 154 of the family's 154-position model. The record is from RNAcentral.
GAUGAAGAACGCAGCAAAAUGCGAUAAGUAAUGUGAAUUGCAGAAUUCAGUGAAUCAUCGAAUCUUUGAACGCACAUUGCGCCCGCCAGUAUUCUGGCGGGCAUGCCUGUUCGAGCGUCAUUUCAACCCUCAAGCACAGCUUGGUGUUGGGACUCGCGUUAAUUCGCGUUCCCCAAAUUCAUUGGCGGUCACGUCGAGCUUCCAUAGCGUAGUAGUAAAACCCUCGUUACUGGUAAUCGUCGCGGCCACGCCGUUAAACCCCAACUUCUGAAUGUUGACCUCGGAUCAGGUAGGAAUACCCGCUGAACUUAAGCAUAUCAAUAAGCGGAGGA